GAGAUUGGUGUCCUUGUUGGGGUAAGUAUGUAAAGAAAUCAUAUAUAAUGGGAUUCAGGGAGGUGCAUUUGCAAUAAAUUUAGUGUUUUGUGCCUUUUUUUUUUGGGAACACUUGAACUCAUGAUUCAAAAUGCCUAUCAGCUGUUAAUAAUUAUGUAUUUUCUAGGAUUCUGAAUCUUUUAACUCUUUUUUGAGGCCUAAAAUUUCACAUCAAUGCCAUUUUAGAUUGAACUCUGAGUGUGGCAUAGACAUACUCAACUUUGAGACAAUGUUUGAUAAGACUUUAGUCAACUGUGUUGGAUGCAUUAAUGUCCUUGGAAGCCUGGAUGAAACUGUCAA
Molecule: unclassified non-coding RNA, 339 nt
Filed under: Hevea brasiliensis (rubber tree)
Lineage: Eukaryota; Viridiplantae; Streptophyta; Magnoliopsida; Malpighiales; Euphorbiaceae
Source: RNAcentral